AUACGGAGGUUGCAAGCGUUGUUCGGAAUAACUGGGCGUAAAGGGAGCGCAGGCGGUUUGAUCAGUCUGAAGUGGAAGCCCGGGGCUCAACCCCGGAAGGCCUUUGGAUACUGUCAAACUUGAGUUCGUGAGAGGAGAGUGGAAUUCCAGGUGUAGCGGUGAAAUGCGUAGAUAUCUGGAGGAACAUCGAUGGCGAAGGCAACUCUCUGGCACGAUACUGACGCUGAGGCUCGAAAGCGUGGGGAGCGAACAGGAUUAGAAACCCUAGUAGUCC
This 274-nucleotide ribosomal RNA is filed under the name uncultured bacterium. RNAcentral describes it as "partial 16S ribosomal RNA". It matches the Rfam family "Bacterial small subunit ribosomal RNA", at positions 523 to 796 of the family's 1533-position model. The record is from RNAcentral.